Molecule: long non-coding RNA, 445 nt
Organism: Hibiscus syriacus
Lineage: Eukaryota; Viridiplantae; Streptophyta; Magnoliopsida; Malvales; Malvaceae
Exons: 3
Source: RefSeq, a predicted model, not a curated record
GAUUGUUGCUUCUGAAGAAAAAACUUAAUUCUUUUCCAUGAGAAGAUAACAGUGGAUGACUUUUUAAGCCCCUACAGCACGACAAUCCUCGUGUCAAACCCCCUGGAAAAGAUAACCAUAAAGGCUGAUCUUGUUUUUGAAGAAUACAGCUAAGUUUCUAAAAGUCUUAAAUCCAAUGCACAUAAAUUACAGAGGCUUUGGACUCAUUUUGAAACGUUAUCCAUGCAGUUGGCCUUGAUCUCCAUGAAAAACUUCUGCUAUUUAAGGAGAGCGAAUCAACUCCCUAUCCUAAACUUGUAAAGAAACCAGCUCAUUUUUUUGCUCCUCGGGAAGUUUAUGUUAUUGAAGAUGACAAGGAAGCCAAACAUCAAUCUUGCCAAAAGACCUAUCUAUUUGAUUGAAUCUAAAAUGGGAAGUUCUUCAAUGUGAGAAACAGAAUGUUCUU